UCAGCAAUUUAUUUUUCUUGCACUCUUACUGUGUGCACUGUGCCAGCCUGGUGGUGCAGAGGUGAAAGAUCAAGUUCAUGUCAUCAAAUAGGUCACAACCAAACAGGGAGAAAGGCUCUGCACAAAAUGGUCCCCGUGCUUGGAACACUUCCUUCUGCUGGUCUCCUGUGGCAUGCCCCAUGCCCCACUAACUGCUGCUGCUAUCUCAGAUGUCCACACCCUCUGAUAGCCUGACUGUGAACAUGAACUUGGAGUGACCUUAAGAAGCAGAUGUGGAAACGUCAUCUUUAUAAAAUGAUUUGUAUUAAGAAUAUCUAUGCUGAAUGGACCAAUGUGGGUGGAAGAGAGUCUGGGACAGGCUAAGCAGCAGGUCAUGGCAAGAUGCAGUACUCAGAGAAUAAGACCUUAGGCCAAGACAUCUCUUCCCAACUCCACCAACUCCAUAGAACCGGGACGGCCAUGGAGGGUAGAGGAGACUCCCAGUCUGAUCAAGGCAGUGUCUGAGCUCUCCAAGACUGCCUAGGAUUCCUCAUGUUCAUCGUCGGUGUUCUGGGUCCCUCUGCCUGAACUCUUUCCCCUCCGGCCCCUCCCUCUUAUCCUUCAAGACCGAGCUAUUGGGGGUCGCCUCUAAGAAAGUCACCUGUCAGAGAGCCAUCUCCACUUCCUCGUACACCCAGGAACUAUGAGCUUGUACUUCUAGUUAAUACUCCUCUACUCAUAUCCAUACAUGGCUCACUAGUUUUCUAGCAGGGACUAUAAAAAUAAUUAUUUCUGAAAGUACCCUGCA
Molecule: non-coding RNA, 787 nt
Organism: Microcebus murinus (gray mouse lemur)
Lineage: Eukaryota; Metazoa; Chordata; Mammalia; Primates; Cheirogaleidae
Source: RefSeq, a predicted model, not a curated record